ACAUGCAAGUCGAGCGAAUUUCAAGAAGCUUGCUUUUUGAAAGUUAGCGGCGGACGGGUGAGUAACACGUGGGCAACCUGCCUGCAAGACGGGGAUAACUCCGGGAAACCGGGGCUAAUACCGGAUAAUAUCUUCCUUCGCAUGAAGGAAGGUUGAAAGGCGGCGCAAGCUGCCGCUUGCAGAUGGGCCCGCGGCGCAUUAGCUAGUUGGUGAGGUAACGGCUCACCAAGGCGACGAUGCGUAGCCGACCUGAGAGGGUGAUCGGCCACACUGGGACUGAGACACGGCCCAGACUCCUACGGGAGGCAGCAGUAGGGAAUCUUCCGCAAUGGACGAAAGUCUGACGGAGCAACGCCGCGUGAGCGAAGAAGGUCUUCGGAUCGUAAAGCUCUGUUGUCCGGGAAGAACAAGUACCGUUCGAACAGGGCGGUACCUUGACGGUACCUGACCAGAAAGCCACGGCUAACUACGUGCCAGCAGCCGCGGUAAUACGUAGGUGGCAAGCGUUGUCCGGAAUUAUUGGGCGUAAAGCGCGCGCAGGCGGUCUCUUAAGUCUG
RNAcentral lists this ribosomal RNA (557 nucleotides) under metal-contaminated soil clone K20-66. RNAcentral's name for it is "bacterial SSU rRNA". It matches the Rfam family "Bacterial small subunit ribosomal RNA", at positions 53 to 591 of the family's 1533-position model. Lineage: Bacteria; Bacillati; Bacillota. The record is from RNAcentral.